RNAcentral lists this ribosomal RNA (254 nucleotides) under uncultured bacterium. Its description in RNAcentral is "partial 16S ribosomal RNA". It matches the Rfam family "Bacterial small subunit ribosomal RNA", at positions 524 to 776 of the family's 1533-position model. The record is from RNAcentral.
GACGGAGGAUGCAAGUGUUAUCCGGAAUCACUGGGCGUAAAGCGUCUGUAGGUGGUUUCAAAAGUCCACUGUUAAAGAUUGAAGCUUAACUUCAAAAAUGCCGUGGAAACUUUGAAACUUGAGUAUGAUAGGGGUAGAGGGAAUUUCCAGUGGAGGCGGUGAAAUGCGUAGAUAUUGGAAAGACCACCAAUGGCGAAGGCACUCUACUGGGCCAUUACUGACACUGAGAGACGAAAGCUAGGGGAGCGAAUGGG